Molecule: long non-coding RNA, 830 nt
Organism: Bombus impatiens (common eastern bumble bee)
Lineage: Eukaryota; Metazoa; Arthropoda; Insecta; Hymenoptera; Apidae
Exons: 2
Source: RefSeq, a predicted model, not a curated record
UGUAGUUUAUAUUUAUAAUUUAUAUACAUGUAGGUACAUCGCGAUUUUAGAACGACGAGCCGUUGAAUUUUCAGCGUUCGUUUUCGUCUCAGUGCUUGUACAAAUUUUGCGAACGUUUUAAUAAGAAUCUGCUUCGCGGAAAGGCAAAUGACUGUAUUUGCGCCGAAAAUACAGAUCGCAAAAGAUAUAUUUAUAUCGAUGUAAUUAUUAUAUAAAACGAAGAGAACGAUUUAGAGAGUAGAAUAAAAAUAAUUGAAACGACCAGCGUUCCAAACGAAUGCUGUUAUCUGGUGUAAUAAAGAUGUCAAGCAAAACUUUCCCAGAUCCGAAUAACAGUAGUACGUAACACACGUAUUUGUACAAUACAUGUAUAUCUCUCUCGAAUCGUGGAAUGACAACUAUAAAUAUAAAUAACUGUUUCAAAGUUUGAUAUAACGUGGAAUAGUCGAUCGAAAUGUUUAGCUUUACAAGUAAACGUAAUUUAUUCGACGCUUAUCUUUUGAAAAUGGAAGGGGAAAUACCAAACGCUUCUUCGUCUAUCCGUGGAAGAUAUAGUUUUAUAUAACGCUGAUAUUAUAUUCUCGAGUCUGAUGAUGGAAUAGCAAAGUUUCCUGGGUCCUUUCCGCCAAACGGUACUAAUAUAUUCUACGAAUAAACAUAGGAAGAGAGUGUUGUGUCGUAUAAAAAUGUCAUGAAGAGUAGUGAGAAGAAUGCGAAAAAUAACGGCGGAUUUAUCUUUCGUUCGAUAAAAGUUUUAACAGUUACCGCGUUCUUUUCACGUAAGAAGAAUUAACGCAACGAACGCGUAACUCGGUUGUUGAUGGAAAUUC